This 301-nucleotide ribosomal RNA is filed under the name uncultured bacterium. Its description in RNAcentral is "partial 16S ribosomal RNA". It matches the Rfam family "Bacterial small subunit ribosomal RNA", at positions 509 to 808 of the family's 1533-position model. The record is from RNAcentral.
CAGUCGCGCGGUAAUACGUAGGUGGCAAGCGUUGUCCGGAAUUAUUGGGCGUAAAGGGCUCGCAGGCGGUUUCUUAAGUCUGAUGUGAAAGCCCCCGGCUCAACCGGGGAGGGUCAUUGGAAACUGGGAAACUUGAGUGCAGAAGAGGAGAGUGGAAUUCCACGUGUAGCGGUGAAAUGCGUAGAGAUGUGGAGGAACACCAGUGGCGAAGGCGACUCUCUGGUCUGUAACUGACGCUGAGGAGCGAAAGCGUGGGGAGCGAACAGGAUUAGAUACCCCGGUAGUCCCUGUCUCUUAUACA